GCGCGCGCGGGGAAAGGCCCCGAAAACACCUUAGUUUGCAUCGAGAGACCAUUUGCAGCGGACCCCGAAAGUUUGCUAGAGGAAGACUGCACGCGGCGAGCGAGUGGCCGAGGGGCAGCGGCGGAGAGGGGAAGCAUGGUGCUGCCGGCGCCUCCUCCGCGGGCGUGAAGGCGGUGCUCCCGCUUCCUCCUCAGACUCUGCUGAGUUCCAGGAGCUUCUGCUGACAAUCCCAGCUUCUGAGCGAUGGUGAGGGCCGCACUGCCUUCUCUGAUUCGCUGUCAGCCAUGAACAGAUGGGUGUGAUGCCUGCUAGCCGAAAGGG
This is a long non-coding RNA of Nannospalax galili (Upper Galilee mountains blind mole rat), 321 nucleotides long. RefSeq lists it as uncharacterized. The transcript has 3 exons. Lineage: Eukaryota; Metazoa; Chordata; Mammalia; Rodentia; Spalacidae. The record is from RefSeq and is a predicted model, not a curated record.